Molecule: ribosomal RNA, 186 nt
Filed under: Salmonella enterica subsp. enterica
Lineage: Bacteria; Pseudomonadati; Pseudomonadota; Gammaproteobacteria; Enterobacterales; Enterobacteriaceae
Description: partial 16S ribosomal RNA
Rfam family: Bacterial small subunit ribosomal RNA
Source: RNAcentral
UUUAUUGGAGAGUUUGAUCCUGGCUCAGGACGAACGCUGGCGGCGUGCCUAAUACAUGCAAGUCGAGCGAGUCCCUUCGGGGGCUAGCGGCGGACGGGUGAGUAACACGUAGGCAACCUGCCCGUAAGCUCGGGAUAACAUGGGGAAACUCAUGCUAAUACCGGAUAGGGUCUUCUCUCGCAUGAG